CAAAUAAUAUUGCUAUUGAUCUUUCUUGUGAUCCUUCUUGUAGCAAUUAACAUUGGACAAAUAGUUGGAUAUUUUCAUUUACUCUGGCUAUUUCCAUCAUGUAUCCUUGUCAUAUUGAUCCAGCCAUGUUUUCAGUGGUGUUGGCGACACAGGAUGAGAAUUGUUGAUGUUGUAACGUUCAUGAAGUCAUUGGAUGGUUGACUACAGUGGUUUAGUUAUGAAGUUUGUACAUAUUUUUAACAUACAUUUAUAAAUUAGCUUUAAUCAAGGGUAGAUUGAAGUAAAUUUAAAAUAAGGCCAUAGUGUCGAGGUUACUUCGCAUAUUUAGAUGCGACCGCAUUGUCAGUUUAAUUAGCAAAUUGUAGGUAUUGUCAAGUUUCUUAUCAGCCAUUUACAUGCCCUAUUCGCAGAAUGACUAGAAGGUUUCAUCAGUGCAUUGAGGUUAACUCGUUUCUAGGGACAUCCUAGGUUGGACUGUUUUGUAUAAUACCCUCCUAGAUAGUUCUAUCAUACUAGGGGACAUUUGGUUUGAAUAGUAGCCUAGUUUAUCAUCUUUAUUGUGAUAUUUAGAACAUCUUUAUAUUAGUCCAUGAGGUCAACUCGCUCUUAGUGAUAUACUGAGUCUGGACUACGAGAUAUUUCUAAUUGAUAUUGAUCACUAGGUAUUCACCAUGCAGUAUCCUCUAGGAAGAUUCUAGGAUAAGUUGGCAUUUGUAGAGGCAGAAACUUGAACUUGUACAUACUACCAUCUAACUACUGCUACUUAUUCCUCAUAGUCUACUUAUUCCUCGUAUAGUUUUCUUUUUUUUUUAAAUUAGGGGGUGAGUGUGACCUGUCGUGUUUUACAACAGACAGGUCUCGGUAAUAUUUCUAAUAUAAUCAUAAGCAUAGUACAUAGGCUGUACAAUAUGAUGAGCCAUUAUUUUGAUAACAUAAUUAGCGCCCUCUGUAGUUACAGAAACUUUUUAUUGCAACGCCCUCGCUUGGUUCCUUAACUUUCCUGCAAUCACAUUCUAGCAUAACUAGCUGCAUUGGCCAGGAACAUUUCAACAUACCUUGCAUUCCAGAAUAUUGUUAACACUUUCUGAGCUGCAUUGCGAGCUGCAUAACUUAGCUUUCGUGUCAUGACAAGGCAUUGCUAGAGACACUCAUCCACUUGCUUGCGAUCAGACCACACCUAUAAUUCAGAAGUGCUCUGAUUAUAGCUCAACUACAGCUAGUUGGGGACAAUUUCCCCUUCGUUUGGUGGUGGCACGACCGUUGUUCAGCCUAGGCGACGUACAACUGUAUACCCAUUUGACUGUCGUUUUUUUUGUAUAUAUAUUCGAGAGAGCCACAACUGUAUAUUUUGUAUAGAUUCAUCCGAAUAAAUUAAUCAAAUCUAGUCA
Molecule: long non-coding RNA, 1388 nt
Organism: Patiria miniata (bat star)
Lineage: Eukaryota; Metazoa; Echinodermata; Asteroidea; Valvatida; Asterinidae
Exons: 2
Source: RefSeq, a predicted model, not a curated record